Molecule: transfer-messenger RNA, 359 nt
Filed under: Escherichia coli
Lineage: Bacteria; Pseudomonadati; Pseudomonadota; Gammaproteobacteria; Enterobacterales; Enterobacteriaceae
Rfam family: transfer-messenger RNA
About the family: Bacterial tmRNA, also known as 10Sa RNA or SsrA, is named for its dual tRNA and mRNA-like properties.
Source: RNAcentral
GGGGCUGAUUCUGGAUUCGACGGGAUUUGCGAAACCCAAGGUGCAUGCCGAGGGGCGGUUGGCCUCGUAAAAAGCCGCAAAAAAUAGUCGCAAACGACGAAAACUACGCUUUAGCAGCUUAAUAACCUGCUUAGAGCCCUCUCUCCCUAGCCUGCUCUUAGAUCGGAUCAAGAGAGGUCAAACCCAAAAGAGAUCGCGUGGAAGCCCUGCCUGGGGUUGAAGCGUUAAAACUUAAUCAGGCUAGUUUGUUAGUGGCGUGUCCGUCCGCAGCUGGCAAGCGAAUGUAAAGACUGACUAAGCAUGUAGUACCGAGGAUGUAGGAAUUUCGGACGCGGGUUCAACUCCCGCCAGCUCCACCA